UCAAUGCUGGAACGCUUGGAUAUCGAAAGCGCAAGCGCCAGAGGGUGAGUCUGCGGCCUAUCAGGUAGUAGGUGGUGUAACGGACCACCUAGCCUAAGACGGGUACGGGCCUUGAGAGAGGGAGCCCGGAGAUGGGUUCUGAGACACGAACCCAGGCCCUACGGGGCGCAGCAGGCGCGAAACCUUCGCACUGCGCGAAAGCGCGACGAGGGGAGCCCGAGCGCCUCUCCAUUUCGGGGAGGCUUUUCACAAGCCUAAAAAGCUUGUGGAAUAAGGGCUGGGCAAGACGGGUGCCAGCCGCCGCGGUAAUACCCGCAGCUCGAGUGGUGGUCGCUUUUAUUGAGCCUAAAACGUUCGUAGUCGGCCUUGUAAAUCCAUAGGUAAAUCGGACCGCUUAACGGUUCGAAUUCCGGGGAGACUGCAAGGCUAGGGACCGGGCGAGGUCAGAGGUACUUUCGGGGUAGGAGUGAAAUCCUGUAAUCCCGAAGGGACCACCUGUGGCGAAAGCGUCUGACUUGAACGGCUCCGACGAUGAGGAACGAAGGCUAGGGGAGCAAACCGGAUUAGAUACCCGGGUAGUCCUAGCUGUAAACUCUGAGCGCUUGGUGUGGCUUGUACUUCGGGUGCAGGCUGUGCCGGAGCGAAGGUGUUAAGCGGGCUGCUUGGGGAAAGGGGCCGCAAGGUUGAAACUUAAAGGAAUUGGCGGGGGAACAGCGCAACGGGAGGAUGCGUGCGGU
This 737-nucleotide ribosomal RNA is filed under the name uncultured Thermoplasmatales archaeon. RNAcentral describes it as "bacterial SSU rRNA". It matches the Rfam family "Archaeal small subunit ribosomal RNA", at positions 164 to 901 of the family's 1478-position model. Lineage: Archaea; Methanobacteriati; Thermoplasmatota; Thermoplasmata; Thermoplasmatales. The record is from RNAcentral.